AGGAUAAAAGCUCAGAAAACUUCCCCAAUGGUUAAUUUGAGAUGCAUUUGAUCAUAAAAGGACAAGAGAGAAGAAGUGGUUAUAAGAUGUCAACAUUUGUUUCCAGUUCCCGUCAGAGACAAAGAAACACAAACCCAAGGAUUGAAUCACUUGGUGGUCCAGUAAAAGAAUGCAUUCUCCUCAGCUAUCUGGAGAAGUUCAAGAUUGUCUUUGAUAAAAGAAUAUUUACCAGGUGUCUGAAAAUACCAAGCUGGAGAAUUAGUCUAUGGUGAUUAAAAACUCUCAAAGCAUGUCUUACCAACUGGAGAAUUUUUCCUAUGUCAACCAAAGGGGCGGAUGCCCCUGCUCACUCUAACCUUCCCUUUGGGGGUUCCUUGGAGACCACAUCUAGACCAGUGGGUGCCACAAUCACUGUGUCAAGUAUGGAAAGGGCAGCUGAGAUCACAUCGAGGAUUCCAGAAAGAAUUGGCACAGGAUCAUUCGGGAUGCAUCUCUCCCUUGCCUCUGUUCCUGGCUUUCCUUACAGCUCUCGACUUCCUCAAAGGAGUCAUCAGUUCAGAGUUUGGCUUCCAUUCCUAUUGAGGAAGCUGGAAAGUGUUUCAAAAAUGCUCCUCCGAUGUGCCUGUGGUUAAGACCUCUGAGCUCUGCUUAAAACUUUUGGAAGCUGGGGGCAGUGGCUCAAGCCUGUAAUCCCAGCCCUUUGGGAGGCUGAGGCAGGCGAAUCACAAGGUCAGGAAUUCGAGACCAGCCUGGCCAACAUGGUGAAACCAUGUCUCUACUCAAAAGAGAAAAAAAUGAGCCAGGCGUAGUGGCGGGCGCCUGUCAUUUCAGCUACUUUGCAGGCUGAGACAGUAGAUUAGCUUGAACCUGGGAUGCAGAGGCUGCAGUGAGCCGAGAUCACUCCACUGCACUCUAGCCUGGGCAACGGAACGAGACUCCAUCUCAAAACAACAAAAACAAAAACAAAAAACAAAAAAACCCACAACUUUUUGAGAGUUGGAAGACCAGGAAGUAUAGUACCCGAGAUUUCGAGUCUGUCCAUGAAAUUUGAAUACCACCCUUUCUACUUCUCUGUGUGGCAAAGGGUGAGAUGUCCAUCCUCUGAGACUCAGCACUCUCAUCUGACUUGUUUUCCAGUUGAUCCGAUGGAAGUGAGUGAUGAUUAAGCCGAUCGUGGGUGUCCCCUGCGUGAUCUCUAGGUGACGGAUGCAUAAAGUAAAGGCAAAGUGAAUUUUAGAUACAUUCCUUAAGAUUUUCAGCUUCAACUCCACACAAUUCAAUGGAAAUAUCCCCUGACCUGAAGUUCUGCUUUCCCUGCAUUCCAGACAGGACAUUUUGUUUUGUCCUUCUCUCAGUAAGGACUGAGUACUGUGAGAGGAACAAUUGAGUCUCUUUGGUUUCUGAUUCCCCAGAGCCUAUAUCUUGCUUGGCACAUAGGAGACAGCAAAAGUCAAAUAUAUGCUAAUGAUUGAAUUGACACUUCCUUGCUUCACCAAAAUUGGCUGUCAUCAGCUUGACUUUGACUUACUUGAUUCUUUUUGUUUUUUUUUUUGAGACGGAGUUUUGCUGUCAUUGCCCAGGCUGGCGUGUGAUUUCGGCUCACUGUGGUCUCUGCCUCCCAGGUUCAAGCCACUCUCCUGCCUCAGCCUCCCGAGUAGCUGGGACUACAGGCACGCGCCGCCAUACCGGGCGAAUAUUUUGUAUUUUUAGUAGAAGCAGGGUUUCACCAUGUUGGCCAGGAUGGUCUUGAUCUCCUGACACUGUGAUCCGCCCUCCUCGGCCUCCCAAAGUGCUGGGAUUACCGGCGUGAGCCACCGCGUCCGGCCAAACUUUCUGAUGAAAACUCUAAGUCCACCGAAGCUAAGAACAGGAGUUAGAGCUUCCACGAAUUUUAAAACAAGACCCACCGAUUUGAGUAAGCAAUUACUCUCUCGAAGGAGAAAAGUCCGAAAACACAAUGAUGAAAUCACUAGGACCUAACCGGCAUGUGGAACUAUUUUCUGCUUAUGAACUAUCAACUUUCAUUUCAUUUCCAGAUGGCAUGGUCUCAGCUGUUAUACAGUGUUUACAAAUGUUGUAAAUCAAGGGAAUUUGUAUCAAUCUAGUAGAAUAAAUAAAAUAUUUGAGUUCUUAAUUUCCUUUAA
This 2144-nucleotide long non-coding RNA is filed under the name Homo sapiens (human). Its description in RNAcentral is "lncAB132.2". The record is from RNAcentral. Lineage: Eukaryota; Metazoa; Chordata; Mammalia; Primates; Hominidae.